Molecule: ribosomal RNA, 468 nt
Filed under: uncultured bacterium
Lineage: Bacteria
Description: partial 16S ribosomal RNA
Rfam family: Bacterial small subunit ribosomal RNA
Source: RNAcentral
GACGAACGCUGGCGGCGUGCUUAACACAUGCAAGUCGAACGGAAAGGCCCUGCUCUUGUGGGGUGCUCGAGUGGCGAACGGGGGAGUAACACGUGAGUAACCUGCCCUUGACUUUGGGAUAACUUCAGGAAACUGGGGCUAAUAUCGGAUAGGAGCUCCUGCUGCAUGGUGGGGGUUGGAAAGAUUCGGCGGUUGUGGAUGGACUCGCGGCUUAUCAGCUUGUUGGUGGGGUAGUGGCUUACCAAGGCUUUGACGGGUAGCCGGCCUGAGAGGGUGGACGGCCACAAUGGGACUGAGGUACGGACCAGACUCCUACGGGAGGCAGCGGUGGGGAAUAUUGCACAAUGGGCGGAAGCCUGAUGCAACGACGCCGCGUGCGGGAUGACGGCCUUCGGGUUGUAAACCGCUUUCGCCUGUGACGAAGCGUUAGUGACGGUAAUGGGUCAAGAAGCACCGGCUAACUACGUG